GACGAACGCUGGCGGCGUGCUUAACACAUGCAAGUCGAACGGAAAGGCCCUGCUUGCCGGGUACUCGAGUGGCGAACGGGUGAGUAACACGUGGGUGAUCUGCCCUGCACUUCGGGAUAAGCCUGGGAAACUGGGUCUAAUACCGGAUAGGAGCCAUUUUUAGUGUGAUGGUUGGAAAGUUUUUUCGGUGUAGGAUGAGCUCGCGGCCUAUCAGCUUGUUGGUGGGGUAAUGGCCUACCAAGGCGGCGACGGGUAGCCGGCCUGAGAGGGUGGACGGCCACAUUGGGGCUGAGAGACGGCCCAGACUCCUACGGGAGGCAGCAGUGGGGAAUAUUGCACAAUGGGCGCGAGCCUGAUGCAGCGACGCCGCGGGGGGGAUGACGGCCUUCGGGUUGUAAACUCCUUUCGCUAGGGACGAAGCUUUUUGUGACGGUACCUAGAUAAGAAGCACCGGCUAACUACGUG
RNAcentral lists this ribosomal RNA (465 nucleotides) under uncultured bacterium. RNAcentral describes it as "partial 16S ribosomal RNA". It matches the Rfam family "Bacterial small subunit ribosomal RNA", at positions 28 to 507 of the family's 1533-position model. The record is from RNAcentral.